GAUGAACGCUGGCGGCGUGCCUAAUACAUGCAAGUCGAGCGAACAGACGAGGAGCUUGCUCCGCGGACGUUAGCGGCGGACGGGUGAGUAACACGUGGAUAACCUACCUAUAAGACUGGGAUAACUUCGGGAAACCGGCGCUAAUACCGGAUAAUAUAUUGAACCGCAUGGUGCAAUAGUGAAAGACGGUUUUGCUGUCACUUAUAGAUGGAUCCGCGCCGCAUUAGCUAGUUGGUAAGGUAACGGCUUACCAAGGCAACGAAGCGUAUCCGACAGGAGAGGGUGGUCGGCCACACUGGAAGUGAGACCCGGUCCAGAGUCCUACGGGAGGCACCAGUAGGGAAUCUUCCGCAAUGGGCGAAAGCCUGACGGAGCAACGCCGCGGGAGUGAUGAAGGUCUUCGGAUCGUAAAACUCUGUUAUUAGGGAAGAACAAAUGUGUAAGUAACUAUGCACGUCUUGACGGUACCUAAUCAGAAAGCCACGGCUAACUACGUG
Molecule: ribosomal RNA, 497 nt
Filed under: uncultured bacterium
Lineage: Bacteria
Description: partial 16S ribosomal RNA
Rfam family: Bacterial small subunit ribosomal RNA
Source: RNAcentral